RNAcentral lists this ribosomal RNA (507 nucleotides) under uncultured bacterium. Its description in RNAcentral is "partial 16S ribosomal RNA". It matches the Rfam family "Bacterial small subunit ribosomal RNA", at positions 28 to 507 of the family's 1533-position model. The record is from RNAcentral.
GACGAACGCUGGCGGCGUGCCUAAUACAUGCAAGUCGAACGCAUUUUCUUUCACCGUAGCUUGCUACACCGAAAGAAAAUGAGUGGCGAACGGGUGAGUAACACGUGGGUAACCUGCCCAUCAGCGGGGGAUAACACUUGGAAACAGGUGCUAAUACCGCAUAAUUCCAUUUACCGCAUGGUAGAUGGGUGAAAGGCGCUUUUGCGUCACUGAUGGAUGGACCCGCGGUGCAUUAGCUAGUUGGUGGGGUCACGGGCUACCAAGGCUGCGAUGCAUAGCCGACCUGGGAGGGGGAACGGCCAAACUGGGACUGGGACACGGCCCAGAAUCCUACGGGGGGCAGCAGGAAGGAAUCUUCGGCAAUGGAGGCAAGGCUGACCGAGCAACGCCGCGGGAGUGAAGAAGGUUUUCGGAUCGUAAAACUCUGUUUUUAGAGAAGAACAAGGAUGGGAGUGGAAAGUUCAUCCCUUGACGGUAUCUAACCAGAAAGCCACGGCUAACUACGUG